CAAGUGAGUCGUCUCAUGGACCUCAUUGUUAACAGCUUGUACAGCUACAAAGAGCAAUGCAAGUGAUGCUUUGGAUAAACUGCGCUUUCUGAGUGUGACAGACCCUGGACUUUUGAAGGAAGCAAUUGAUUUUCACAUAUGUAUCCAUAGUGAUAAAGAUAAUGGGAUUAUAAGCAUAACGUAAGGGUUCUGCUAUUUGCAUCCCCCCUCCUCCUCCAUACCGACAAUGCUGCAACAUUUGCAGCCUGUUUUCUAUCUCUAUGCAGUGAUACUGGCAUAGAAGAAGAAGAAGAAGAAAACAGAGACUGUUGUGGAGAAGUACUGGGACUGGGAGCUCACUAAUGAGACCCAACCAAUAUGGCUUCGAAAAGGAAGUCUCCACGGAGGAGUACAAUGUAUUCUACAGAAAAAUUUUCAAUGAGUACUUGGAUCCAUUAGCAUCAUCUCAUUUUACAACGGAGGGUGAAGUAGAAUUCAGGUCAAUACUUCAUGUUCCCUCUGUUUCUCCCACGGGGAAGGAUGACCUCAUCAAUCCCAAGACUAAAAAUAUUAGGCUUUACGUGAAAAGGGUGUUUAUUUCAGAUGAUUUUGAUGGAGAAUUGGUAAAACUUACCUAAAUGAAACAUCCUUUCUGUACUUUAAAUGUUAGUUUUACCGGUGACAAUGCUGAUGAUUUUUAAGUCAUUCGGGUCGAGGUCAUUAGUUUCCAGAAUUAUAGGAUGACCCUCUGCCUUCAUUAUUGGUCUACUUUGUGAAAUUACAACAAAGGAAACAGUAAUUGGUAUGUGUUUUAGGUGAUAAGAAUGAAGAGAAAGAGAAAGAAAUAAAACAAGAGUUGGGCCAAACUUGUGAUUGGAUUAAAGUUGCCAAUGUUCAGAUGUCAAGUCGCCUAAGUUCUUCACCCUGUGUUCUUGUCGCUGGAAAGUUUGGUUGGUCUGCCAACAUGGAGAGGUUGAUGAAGGCACAAACUGUUGGUGAUGCCUCUAGUUUGGACUUCAUGAGAAGUAGAAGCGUGUUUGAAGCGAACCCUGAGCAUCAAAUCAUUAAAAACCUGGAUGCUGCAUACAA
Cucurbita maxima (winter squash) is the source of this 1068-nucleotide long non-coding RNA. RefSeq lists it as uncharacterized. The record is from RefSeq and is a predicted model, not a curated record. The transcript has 7 exons. NCBI's taxonomy places the organism in Eukaryota, Viridiplantae, Streptophyta, Magnoliopsida, Cucurbitales, Cucurbitaceae.